GGAGUCUGGGCCGUGUCUCAGUCCCAAUGUGGCCGUUCACCCUCUCAGGCCGGCUAUGGAUCGUCGCUUUGGUGGGCCGUUACCCCGCCAACUGGCUAAUCCAACGCGGAGCCAUCCUGUACCACCGGAGUUUUUCACACAGGGCCAUGCGGCCUCGUGCGCUUAUGCGGUAUUAGCAGCCGUUUCCGGCUGUUAUCCCCCGGUACAGGGCAGGUUCUCCACGCGUUACUCACCCGUCCGCCACUAAGCUUAAGCUUCUUUGACCGAAGUCUCUAAAAAAUAAGCUCCGUUCGACUUGCAUGUGUUAGGCACGCCGCCAGCGUUCAUC
Molecule: ribosomal RNA, 328 nt
Filed under: uncultured Coprococcus sp.
Lineage: Bacteria; Bacillati; Bacillota; Clostridia; Lachnospirales; Lachnospiraceae
Description: partial 16S ribosomal RNA
Source: RNAcentral